CUUUUUGGUAAGUAAUAUAUAUUCCAUACUCAGGUUAGCUAUCAAAAGAAUUAAGCAUUUGUGAUCUUUGGUUGAAAACUUUUACUAAAGCCAUAUUUAUUAUCUUCUUUGUCGCUACAGCUAUUGACCUUAAAGAUUAGGUUGAUCUAGCACAGCACUCUUGGGUUAAGUAUUCAAGGUUAUUUCAUUAGUGUUCCUGAAUGUAAACAGGUUUUUCUUGAAUACUUAGAGCAGGUAAGAUCGUCUUUGUAAAUAAUAGAUUAGCACUCUUCUGGUAUAC
This 280-nucleotide long non-coding RNA is filed under the name Bos taurus (domestic cattle). RNAcentral describes it as "long non-coding RNA NONBTAT019501". Lineage: Eukaryota; Metazoa; Chordata; Mammalia; Artiodactyla; Bovidae. The record is from RNAcentral.